GAGCACUCACAGGAAGUUUAACGUGUUCCUCAGUCUCUGGAAGAACAAGAACACAUUUGAGGGCACAGAAAACUGAACCAGUCAAACUGCUAAUUGAGUUUAUUUUCAAGUUUCAACAGCAUUGAGGACCACCUGCAUAGUCAUGUAGAACUGUUUUUCCCCAGCAGGUGCAGGAUCUUUGGGGCCAAGGUGGUUCUCUGCCACAAUGGAACUUGUCCCGGAAGCCACCCUGCAUGCAGACGCUGGAUGAAGUCAAAAGGAUGUCAGUCUUUGACGCAGAUCAAGUCAGACCUUGAAGCAGGAAAUCUGCUUCACUCGUCGGUCCAAGCCGGGUUCAGGUUCUCCAGGGCCAAGAUGCUUUUGCACCACCUAGUGGACAUGAGUGAAGAGUAGUGAAGAGUGUUCAAACCCAGCAUCGCUUAAAGGGGAGGUUGUCAUAACUGCACACAGAAGCAGGAUGUAAGGAAUGGCACAAAGGCACAAUCUUUUACCAUCACCAUUGGAGAUGAAUGCAUUUUGGGUGUUGUGACAUGUUCCCACCUUAAUGAUGUCAUCACAGGAAUAAAUCUGUUAGCUUUUGCAA
Molecule: long non-coding RNA, 583 nt
Organism: Phyllopteryx taeniolatus (common seadragon)
Lineage: Eukaryota; Metazoa; Chordata; Actinopteri; Syngnathiformes; Syngnathidae
Exons: 3
Source: RefSeq, a predicted model, not a curated record